GAUGAACGCUGGCGGCGUGCCUAAUACAUGCAAGUCGAGCGAACGGACGAGAAGCUUGCUUCUCUGAUGUUAGCGGCGGACGGGUGAGUAACACGUGGAUAACCUACCUAUAAGACUGGGAUAACUUCGGGAAACCGGAGCUAAUACCGGAUAAUAUUUUGAACCGCAUGGUUCAAAAGUGAAAGACGGUCUUGCUGUCACUUAUAGAUGGAUCCGCGCUGCAUUAGCUAGUUGGUAAGGUAACGGCUUACCAAGGCAACGAUGCAUAGCCGACCCGAGAGGGGGGUCGGCCACACGGGAACUGAGACACGGUCCAGACUCCUACGGGAGGCAGCAGUAGGGAAUCUUCCGCAAUGGGCGAAAGCCUGACGGAGCAACGCCGCGUGAGUUAUGAAGGUCUUCGGAUCGUAAAACUCUGUUAUUAGGGAAGAACAUAUGUGUAAGUAACUGUGCACAUCUUGACGGUACCUAAUCAGAAAGCCACGGCUAACUACGUG
This 497-nucleotide ribosomal RNA is filed under the name uncultured bacterium. RNAcentral describes it as "partial 16S ribosomal RNA". It matches the Rfam family "Bacterial small subunit ribosomal RNA", at positions 28 to 507 of the family's 1533-position model. The record is from RNAcentral.